Molecule: ribosomal RNA, 548 nt
Filed under: uncultured Glomeromycotina
Lineage: Eukaryota; Fungi; Glomeromycota
Description: SSU rRNA
Rfam family: Eukaryotic small subunit ribosomal RNA
Source: RNAcentral
UUGGAGGGCAAGUCUGGUGCCAGCAGCCGCGGUAAUUCCAGCUCCAAUAGCGUAUAUUAAAGUUGCUGCAGUUAAAAAGCUCGUAGUUGAAUUUCGGGACCAUCAUGUCGGUCGUGCCUCGGUACGUACUGGCAUUGUUGGUUUCUCCCUUCUGACGAACCAUGAUGUCAUUUAUUUGGUGUUGUGGGGAAUCAGGACUGUUACUUUGAAAAAAUUAGAGUGUUUAAAGCAGGCUCACGCUUGAAUACAUUAGCAUGGAAUAAUGAAGUAGGACGUUUGAUUCUAUUUUGUUGGUUUCUAGGAUCGACGUAAUGAUUAAUAGGGAUAGUUGGGGGCAUUAGUAUUCAAUUGUCAGAGGUGAAAUUCUUGGAUUUAUUGAAGACUAACUACUGCGAAAGCAUUUGCCAAGGAUGUUUUCAUUAAUCAAGAACGAAAGUUAGGGGAUCGAAGACGAUCAGAUACCGUCGUAGUCUUAACCAUAAACUAUGCCGACUAGGGAUCGGAUGAUGUUAAUUUUUUAAUGACUCAUUCGGCGCCUUACGGGAAAC